Sapajus apella (tufted capuchin) is the source of this 433-nucleotide long non-coding RNA. RefSeq lists it as uncharacterized. The record is from RefSeq and is a predicted model, not a curated record. Lineage: Eukaryota; Metazoa; Chordata; Mammalia; Primates; Cebidae. The transcript is spliced from 3 exons.
UUUGAGUUUAGAUCAUCGACGGUAUGCUGUGGAAUUCUUUAUAUAAGCGAGGUUUGAUUUUCGUUAGUAAAAAGGCCUUGCCGGAUAACUGCCAUUAUGCCUGCCCCGUCCCAGUGCAAAAUAGCUUAAAAGCAGAGUGCCUGGUUACAGCUGUUUCCAAGUGCAGUACUCGGCGGGAGUGAUCACCUACCCUGCGGGUGUAAGAUGGAUGCCUGAAGUAUAGACUGCUGCUAGCUGAAUACCAUCUGGGAACACAAAGGUGACCUAAAGGAUGUCCUUGGUGAGGAUUUUGAAAAUUUGAUCUUCACAAGAGUUGCUUGGAUCAUUUAAAAUUUCGAGGAGUCUGAGGAGUACUGCCAUAAUUGCCUGCUGGAGUCCGUAAAUACACAUUUAAGACAGUGAGGACAUGAAUAAAUAUAUUAAUACACUUUGA